UACGAAGGGCCCGAGCGUUGCGCGGAAUCACUGGGCUUAAAGCGUGCGUAGGCGGGGGCGUAAGUGCCAUGUGAAAGCCCACGGCUCAACCGUGGAAAUGCAUGGUAUACUACGUCCCUUGAGGUCGGUAGAGGUUGCCAGAACUCUAGGUGUAGCGGUGAAAUGCGUAGAUAUCUAGAGGAAUGCCAAUGGUGAAGACAGGCAACUGGGCCGAUUCUGACGCUGAGGCACGAAAGCGUGGGGAGCAAACAGG
RNAcentral lists this ribosomal RNA (253 nucleotides) under uncultured bacterium. RNAcentral describes it as "partial 16S ribosomal RNA". It matches the Rfam family "Bacterial small subunit ribosomal RNA", at positions 524 to 776 of the family's 1533-position model. The record is from RNAcentral.